Molecule: ribosomal RNA, 206 nt
Filed under: uncultured bacterium
Lineage: Bacteria
Description: partial 16S ribosomal RNA
Rfam family: Bacterial small subunit ribosomal RNA
Source: RNAcentral
CGCGCAGGCGGCGAGUUUUGUCAGGCGUGAAAGCCCCGGGCUCAACCUGGGAACUGCGCUUGAAACGGGCUUGCUAGAGAUCGGGAGAGGAGAGUGGAAUUCCCAGUGUAGAGGUGAAAUUCGUAGAUAUUGGGAAGAACACCAGUGGCGAAGGCGGCUCUCUGGACCGACACUGACGCUGAGGCGCGAAAGCGUGGGAGCAAACA